RNAcentral lists this ribosomal RNA (331 nucleotides) under uncultured bacterium. Its description in RNAcentral is "bacterial SSU rRNA". It matches the Rfam family "Bacterial small subunit ribosomal RNA", at positions 568 to 898 of the family's 1533-position model. The record is from RNAcentral.
CGCGUAGGCGGGCUUGCAAGUCCGGGGUGAAAGCCCCCAGCUCAACUGGGGAAGUGCCUUGGAAACUGCGGGUCUAGAGGGAGGUAGGGGCAUGUGGAACUUCGGGUGGAGCGGUGAAAUGCGUUGAUAUCCGAAGGAACGCCGGUGGCGAAAGCGACGUGCUGGAUCUCUUCUGACGCUGAGGCGCGAAAGCCAGGGUAGCGAACGGGAUUAGAUACCCCGGUAGUCCUGGCCCUAAACGAUGGGUACUAGGUUGCGGACUUAACAUGGGUUCGCAGCCGAAGCAAAAGUGGUAAGUACCCCGCCUGGGGAGUAUGGUCGCAAGGCUGAA